GUCGAUUUUGAUCCCAUUUAGAAGGUACACUUGGCUGUUGGAUUUUCUUUCUUCACAGAUAAUUAAGCUUCAAUAAUUGCAUGAAUUAAGUGGUCAUAUAAAUUAUUAGGAGUAAAGUGAAAACAUAAGAAACACAGAAUCACACGUUUGCGCACUACCCAGGAGACUAGUUGUUUUGCGAUAUGUCCAGUUGCUUCUUUGAUGGAGGUUAGAGAAUGUUUGUUUAUUUUUUGCGCAGCUCAUUUUAGUAAUACACAGGAAAUGACACAGGAAGGCACUCUUGCAGAGAGCAAUAAACAAGGUGAAAUAAAAGAUGUGUCUAAACCAGCGAUUAUUUCCUGUAAGUCAAGACUCAUCUCGGUCCACACAAAAGAUUAAUUUUCUGAAGCAGCAAUAUAUGUCUACAUGCAAGAAGGUUCUGACACGUCAAUCAGUCUUACAAAACAAAUGCUGUUAACAGAACAACUGUUCUCCAAGCACCAUGACCACUUGCAGUGCCUCCAUCCCUCUGCCUAGCCCAUCCUUGUUGAUUACAUUUGGUAACGUCUUUGGAACAUGUAACAUCCCCAUCUUUACUGCUCUCACUGUAAAAAUAAAGAAAUUCCAUCUACUGCUAAAGUAACAUUUCAUUCCUAGGGUAGAUCCUUCUGACUUACAGCAAUGGACAAGUCACCAGACAGUUCAUGUGGUCAACAUGGACAUAUUGAUGUUAAGUUAUCUUAUCCUGUCUCAGAUAUCUCUUUACUGCAGUAAGCAGACUCAAUAUUCCACACAUUAUUUAUUCAGA
Non-coding RNA from Pelobates cultripes (western spadefoot toad), 787 nucleotides. NCBI's taxonomy places the organism in Eukaryota, Metazoa, Chordata, Amphibia, Anura, Pelobatidae. The record is from the annotation of a GenBank genome assembly.